Molecule: long non-coding RNA, 1104 nt
Organism: Hemicordylus capensis (graceful crag lizard)
Lineage: Eukaryota; Metazoa; Chordata; Lepidosauria; Squamata; Cordylidae
Exons: 3
Source: RefSeq, a predicted model, not a curated record
CGCAGACUUACAAAUGCAUAGACUGGCGUUUCCGUUAUCUGCGGAGGAGACUUCCCUUUGAGCGCCAUUUUAGUCACCGCCUCCUCCAGGGUUAGAAGGGUGUCUGUCAGUUGCGCAAAGGAAACAAUCGGGCGGGGGGGGGGGACAGAGUAGUGCCGCCGCCGCCGCCUCCCCGUCUCACCCAAAUAAAAGGUGACACUACAACUCCUUGCUCUGUGGAGUAGAAGAUGCAGAUCCUAUUUACACUGCCUCCGUGUUUGCCAUUUACAAAUACUGUUCCCAGCCAGACUUUCAAGAAGGUUGCUAAAUGCUGCUGGAAAGAUGAAGAAAUCCUCUUGGUUGUUUGAGGAUACUGACUGAUAAAACUACACUAAAAAUUAAGUUAAAAUGUUUAAGUUGUUUUCUUGUUUUAGCUAUUGUAAAGCUGUUUUUGUUUAAAUGACCAAUAGUUAUGCGAUGAAGACUUACCCAGCUAUAUGCAGGAUGUGGUAAUCUUUGUUGGAUCCAGAAAAUCUUUUCCUCAUGUAAUUAAGAUCAUCAAUAGUUUUUUCUUUUAGGUCAACGUAUCAAAUUAAUUUUGGGAAAUUAGAAUGGUUUGUAUUUAUCUUACCUAGAGUCCCAUGAGAUUUUUUUAAUGUUGUUUUAACUACACAAGUAUGGCUUAACAAAUAAACCAAUUGAUUGCUCUUACCUAGAGAUGUGAAAGAUAAAGUAGCCAGUUUAUUUCACAUACCAUGGUCAGAUACACAUAUUGAUAGCUUGGAAUAUUGAUUACGCAAUGGUUAGCCUGGUACUGUUUGGUCAUAAUAAAUGAAUGCUAAAAGAAUUUCGUACGAUGGUCUAAGAUGUAAUUUUUUUUGCUUCGGAAUGUUUGCUACUCUAAAGAUGAAUAUUUUGUCCUGGAUUGAUGUAAAUAUUCUUUUAUAUCAAUUUUAAUUUUAAAAGAAUGGCAGCAACUGAUAAACUGUGUGGGCUCAUAAACCCCACAGAAUAUCUACACAAACCUUUAUAUAAACCACUGGAUAAGGGAGAUUCAGCAUUACUAUGCAUUAAAAAAACCAAGCAGCCCACUUAACUCAAUGCAAGAAAACAUUGGUUGCUUGC